RNAcentral lists this ribosomal RNA (1137 nucleotides) under Cyloma thomsonus. Its description in RNAcentral is "SSU rRNA". It matches the Rfam family "Eukaryotic small subunit ribosomal RNA", at positions 52 to 1122 of the family's 1831-position model. The record is from RNAcentral. Lineage: Eukaryota; Metazoa; Arthropoda; Insecta; Coleoptera; Hydrophilidae.
UGCAUGUCUCAGUACAAGCCAAAUUAAGGUGAAACCGCGAAAGGCUCAUUAAAUCAGUUAUGGUUCCUUAGAUCGUACCCACAUUUACUUGGAUAACUGUGGUAAUUCUAGAGCUAAUACAUGCAAACAGAGCUCCGACCGGAGACGGAAGGAGCGCUUUUAUUAGAUCAAAACCAAUCGGCGGCGGGUUCGCCCGUCGUCGUACAUCUUGGUGACUCUGAAUAACUUUUUGCUGAUCGCACGGUCCAGCACCGGCGACGCAUCUUUCAAAUGUCUGCCUUAUCAACUGUCGAUGGUAGGUUCUGCGCCUACCAUGGUUGUAACGGGUAACGGGGAAUCAGGGUUCGAUUCCGGAGAGGGAGCCUGAGAAACGGCUACCACAUCCAAGGAAGGCAGCAGGCGCGCAAAUUACCCACUCCCGGCACGGGGAGGUAGUGACGAAAAAUAACGAUACGGGACUCAUCCGAGGCCCCGUAAUCGGAAUGAGUACACUCUAAACCCUUUAACGAGGAUCAAUUGGAGGGCAAGUCUGGUGCCAGCAGCCGCGGUAAUUCCAGCUCCAAUAGCGUAUAUUAAAGUUGUUGCGGUUAAAAAGCUCGUAGUCGAAUCUGUGUCUCGCGCCGCCGGUUCAUCGCUCGCGGUGUUUAACUGGCGUGUCGCGGGACGUCCUGCCGGUGGGCUUAGCCUCCUUCGCGGGGGGCGGCCCAACUACGCAUCCCGCCGCGGUGCUCUUCACUGAGUGUCGAGGUGGGCCGGCACGUUUACUUUGAACAAAUUAGAGUGCUUAAAGCAGGCUCAAACUUCGCCUGAAUAUUCUGUGCAUGGAAUAAUGGAAUAGGACCUCGGUUCUAUUUUGUUGGUUUUCGGAACCCCGAGGUAAUGAUUAAUAGGAACGGAUGGGGGCAUUCGUAUUGCGACGUUAGAGGUGAAAUUCUUGGAUCGUCGCAAGACGGACGGAAGCGAAAGCAUUUGCCAAAAACGUUUUCAUUGAUCAAGAACGAAAGUUAGAGGUUCGAAGGCGAUCAGAUACCGCCCUAGUUCUAACCAUAAACGAUGCCAGCUAGCGAUCCGCCNACGUUCCUCCGAUGACUCGGCGGGCAGCUUCCGGGAAACCAAAGCUUUUGGGUUCCGGGGGAA